GACGAACGCUGGCGGCGUGCCUAAUACAUGCAAGUUGAGCGCUGAAGGUUGGUACUUGUACCAACUGGAUGAGCAGCGAACGGGUGAGUAACGCGUGGGGAAUCUGCCUUUGAGCGGGGGACAACAUUUGGAAACGAAUGCUAAUACCGCAUAAAAACUUUAAACACAAGUUUUAAGUUUGAAAGAUGCAAUUGCAUCACUCAAAGAUGAUCCCGCGUUGUAUUAGCUAGUUGGUGAGGUAAAGGCUCACCAAGGCGAUGAUACAUAGCCGACCUGAGAGGGUGGACGGCCCCAAUGGGACUGGGACACGGCCCAAACUCCUACGGGAGGCAGCAGUAGGGAAUCCUCGGCAAUGGAGGAAAGUCUGACCGAGCAACGCCGCGUGAGUGAAGAAGGUUUUCGGAUCGUAAAACUCUGUUGGUAGAGAAGAACGUUGGUGAGAGUGGAAAGCUCAUCAAGUGACGGUAACUACCCAGAAAGGGACGGCUAACUACGUG
This 497-nucleotide ribosomal RNA is filed under the name uncultured bacterium. RNAcentral's name for it is "partial 16S ribosomal RNA". It matches the Rfam family "Bacterial small subunit ribosomal RNA", at positions 28 to 507 of the family's 1533-position model. The record is from RNAcentral.